Long non-coding RNA from Poecilia latipinna (sailfin molly), 4350 nucleotides. RefSeq lists it as uncharacterized. NCBI's taxonomy places the organism in Eukaryota, Metazoa, Chordata, Actinopteri, Cyprinodontiformes, Poeciliidae. The transcript has 2 exons. The record is from RefSeq and is a predicted model, not a curated record.
AAAUUGUAAUAGACUCCAAGAUGUUGCAUUAUGUUGCAUAAUAACUGCUGCUCUAAAGGCAAUAAAUAAAUAUACAUGCAAUUCAGUUUAGAAACAACAACAGAACCCAAAGAUAUUGCACACCUUCCAGACCUCAACCUACAUUUGGUUCAAAAUUAUGAUGGGGGUGAGGUUCAAAGGAGUAUUUAACAUUGUUCAAAUUAGUUUUUGGGAUUCUGUACCUUCUGCCAGAGGGCAAGAGCUCAUAUUCCACAAACAGAAUGUGGGAUGGAUCCAACAAUACCAUCCGUUUCUGCAUAUCACAAUAAUAUCAAGUAAUUAUGAAGCCUCUGCUCCAAAAAGCUUUGACCAAGAUAGUUUAACAAUGUAGGAAAUAUGUUUAAAUUAUAAACUGCGAACUGGUUUGACACACACUCACCACUCACUUGAUUAGGUUCCCCCAAUCCCUUAACUGCUAUUAUUAUCUGUGGCGUAAUUGUCAGUAGCAAAUCCAUAAUGUGAAUCUCAUUUUCCACCACAUACAUGAUCCCUUAUACUUUGUUCUCGUUUGGUCCUCGGGGACAGAAUGCAGGCUAAAGCCCGGAAUAAAACAGGUUGGCCUGAGGGUGGAAACAUACACGGGCUAAACUGGGAGAAGUGGGUCACCUUGACUCUUCACAACUCCACCCGUUUUGAGCAAAGUCAUUAAUAGAGUUAAAACUACUACAAAUAAAAGCGGCAUGCAGAGUCUGUAUAUUUCUGUGGUUCAAAUGUUUAGGAAUCUACCAGAGACACAACCAAACUACCAAGACGGCUUGUUGAAGGACUGAACGACUGCAUCUGUCCAAAUCAACACUACCUUUGUUGAGCUGGAAAACUCUGCCUUGAGGUAAAAACACAGUCUAGCUCAUAUAAUAUGUAGAUAACGACACUUUAUUCAAACAAAAAUAGCAGGCAUCACUCACAAAUUGCCUGGAUUCCAUGCUAAAAAUACAGGCUACGGCCAAUAAAAGACCGAGUCGUCUAUGGGGAUGUGUUACAACAUAACCUCUGUGUUGCUGCUUCUGUAACUCACAUAAUACAAAACAAAACCUAUGAAUCAUAGCACAAAAAAGAGAAAGCUGAAAAAGGGAGAUUGGUCAGGAGCAAUCAUAUUAACAUAUGUUAAGUUUUUACGUUAGCAACAUGGUUCUGCAACUGUCGUGCAAGCACCAUUGUUGGUGUCUUUUUAGUAGAUAUUCGAAAUCAAUUCUGAUAUCACAAACAGACAAAAAGAUGAGUUGUGUAAGCACGAGGGGUUCUAGCCUUGGAAAAAACAGCACAAUACAGAUUAUAUCAGGAAGUUGGAGUGCUACCUGAAGUAAGCAUUAAUGAAACAUUUCAACAAACAUAUUUAAUGCAAUGUAAUAACAUUUAUUUCAAAGAAAAUGCAACAACUGUUCACAUUUCUGCUAUAAAUAAUAUAACACAUUGACUGCUACAGAUAUGAUUCUGAAGUUGAAGAGGUUUCUUUAUUGUUCUUUUAAUUGUGACACAAAAUCUUAAGCAGAUGACAAAUUUCUUAUUUAGCUGUUUUCAAGGGCUUAGUUUGCAGAAUAAACAUUUGUGUCAUUUUUCUUGUUGCAAAGCUACCAACACAUGAUAAACAAGCAAUAAGCCAACAUCUCUGGUAGGCUAGGGUUGGGGUUAGCAACGAAAAAUAAAUGGCUAUCAUUUGUGCAUUAUGUCUCAAAAACAGUAAAGCAAACAAACGCAAGUCAAUCAUGAUUUAAAACACGAUUGAAAUACAUGGUAACUUCUGGAGGUAUGCAAGCUGUUUGUGUGCACGUAUAUAAGCAAAGAGCAGAGGAACAACGGCGUCAAGUCUUUAUCUUAUCACAGUGGAGUUCAUAUUCCCUCAAGAGGGCUACCUGUCUCCUAAGAACUACUCUAAUCAGAGUUAAGGGGAUCUGUCUUCUGCAGUUAAAUAUCCCAAAAUACUAUUCAAUCUACAGGGUCAUUUAUAUGCUAAUGCAGAGAUUACUUUUGCAUACACGUUUGACACUGCAGUGUGCUGUUGGAGAAGAAAAAUAAUAGUAAGAAAACAAAUUCGGCGAGACUGAAGAAGGAUGAGAGGAGGAUGAAAGAGGAGGGGAAAGGAAGAGGAGAGAUGAAGGCAAGGAGAGCAGAGAGAAGACACUGGGAGGAAGGAGGAGAGCAAUUCCCCUGGGUAGGUACCAUAGGUAAUUAAAAUAAGAUGGACAUAGCUGGAGUCUUGCCAAAGAGAGAGCUCCAGCUCUCUUCAGACUUCUCCCCCAGUCAGACCCUUCUGCCUAAAGCCAAAGAGCUGCAAGUGACACGCAAAACAAUAAACGCUGAAUGAACAGACAGCUCAGAAAUGUAACAGCCCCAGCACGAGGAAUUUGGGCAACAAAAUAGGUAAUGUAUUCAUCUUUGCAGCUGCAGUAAAACAACAAUUCACAGACACUCAGACAGCGCAUGUGCUCACGCACACACACACACACGCACACGCACCAAUAUCCCCACACACAGAGACUUUUACAGUGCUGUGCAAAGCUGCAGCAAGGGCAAACGUUGCUAACCAGAGUUUGACUGCAGUAAGCACAUAUACAUUCACUGCACAGCUCCGAGCUGGAAGCGAGCACAUGAGUAUGCGGCGCACACAUUCAGGCACACACAAUCAGCACAGAGUCAAACGCACACACACACAUGCACACUCCAGCAGCAGCGUGUACAGCAGCAGUGAGGAUGCAGUCUAAUUACACAACAGUGACACCUAUGAAUCUGACCGGCUUUUAUGGUGUCGUUACUCUUUUUUGUUUGUUUUUUUCAGUAUUAAUGAUGCACUUUGCUCUGUGGACGGCAGAUCGGCUCAAAUUCAGAACAAAGAGGAUUUGUCUGAUUAUAUUAAAUCAGAUUCACCUGUUUGGAAAAUAAAUUCUGAUUUCGGGGCAAAAUGAUCAGUGGGGUGGGUGUUAUUUUGCUCUUUUUUUUUUGUUUUUUGUUUUUUUGUUCACUGACUGGAACCAAAAUUCUGCAUACCUUUUAUUUGUCUACCUCGUCGUGUUAAAUUCUGCAUGACAUCCGUAGCCAUCUACGUGGAUUCUCUGGUGCUAGUAAAGAAAGAGCCUGAAGGGUAGCCCAUAUUCUUGUCACGCUGUUCUUUGUGUGCUCUGAUCUCUAAGGGUAAAUAUAGCUCUUUUGGCAGGAGCCUGCUAAGAGGAUCAUAGCUCACAAUAGGUGGUCCAAACACAAACAGCAAACAAAAUGGCAAAAGAACCCGCUUAUAGGCUGAUGUGCGCACAUCCACAAGGCGCACGCACACGCUCCGACACACGCUGCUGCAGCACGAACACCAAAAUAUGCAACGACAGAUACAACGCCUUCCCUCUGAGAGGCUUCUCUUUUCCUUGUAGGUAUAAUUGUGUUGUGGCUAUGCUUUGCUUCUUCCCUCACAGUUGUGACGGAGCUGCAGGUGAAAAGCCGUAAUUAAAGAAGAAAAGUUGUGUUUGUUGUGUGAGAAGGGUGGUUGCAGGAGAGAAGAGGAAGCUGAGAGACAGAAAAGAAAAAAAAAAACCUUCAUCAGACAGUGAAAUCAUCCCGAGGAGCUGGGACACAAAGGACUCGGAUGCCUUUAUCUCCCGACAGAAAAGUCUUCCAAAUCCCUCUGGCUAAGCUGCCAUAACUAAAGCCCGUGCUUGGAACAGGUGCCUGGUGAAUUGGUUGAACAACAAAAGUAGCAAAAUUAGACAAGAUAGACCGAGCUCCAAAGAGACGUAUAAACUCUCAUUUAUUGUGGGCAAAAAAGGGGGGAAAAAAAGCCAAGCGCCUUGGCAGUGGCAUUUGAGAAAAGGUUACCUGGUAAAUUGCUUAUCUUGUUUGUGUGUGUGUGAGCGCUAUAGGUGUGAGUGCAAAGACUUGGGGCUAGAUGGGCACUCUGCCCCACUGCAAUUAUUUUUGCUACAACUAAGAAAACACAAAAUGCAGGAGAUCAAAGUGUCUCUCUCUCUCUCUCUCUCUCUCUCUCUCUCUUAACUGAAUUGAAACAGCUGUGAAAUCACUAACAAUCCAAUUAGCAGCCAGUUAGAUGGGCGGAGCGGUUACACGGAUUGACGCGGGCUCGUUUGUAGGGAGAGACUCGCAACGAUCCUCGUACGCAACAAACAACUUCAAGUCAGGCAUUCGGAAACCACUUACAUGUGCGUAGGCUGGGUGUCCGCACAGAUAGAGAGCACUCGACCUGAAGAAAUGCCGUAUUUAGAUCAGAUUCACGUUUCUGGACUACAAAGGAGCCCUGUAAAUAUCUCUGAACUCCCAGAUGAGGCCUGUCUCAGAGGAGCUGUGAAGAUGAUGCAGUGGACAGAGCAGAUG